RNAcentral lists this ribosomal RNA (723 nucleotides) under Karenia selliformis. RNAcentral describes it as "LSU rRNA". It matches the Rfam family "Eukaryotic large subunit ribosomal RNA", at positions 43 to 651 of the family's 3401-position model. Lineage: Eukaryota; Dinophyceae; Gymnodiniales; Kareniaceae. The record is from RNAcentral.
UAAGUAAGCGGAGGAUAAGAAACUAAAUAGGAUUCCCUUAGUAAUGGCGAAUGAACAGGGAUAAGCUCAGCAUGGAAAUUGGGGCCUCUGGCCUUGAAUUGUAGUCUUGAGAUGUGCUACCAACGGAGGCGCAGAUGUAAGCCUCUUGGAAAAGAGCGUCAGGGAGGGUGAGAGUCCCGUAUGUCAUCUGCAGUUCUCUGUGCACGGUACAUUUUCCAAGAGUCACGUUCCUCGGGAUUGGAGCGCAAAUUGGGUGGUAAAUUUCAUCUAAAGCUAAAUAUUGGUUCGAGACCGAUAGCAAACAAGUACCAUGAGGGAAAGGUGAAAAGGACUUUGAAAAGAGAGUUAAAAGUGCCUGAAAUUGCUGAAAGGGAAGCGAAUGGAACCAGUUGUUCUUGGCGAGUAUUGGUGUUGUCUAAAGUGAGGGCUUGCCACUUCAGCGCAAGUGUGGUGGCAGGUUUUGAUCUGGAUGCGAUACUGCAUCUCGCCUUGCAUGUCAACGUCAGUUCAUAAUUGAGGAAAACUCUAAGGACUUGGUAAUUUGCUUCCGGGUGACUGAAUGUCUCUAGUGGAACUCAUUUUUGAACUGCUUUUGUAUGUCUUGUUGCAGUGCUCUGCGUGCUUGCCUGUGAUCCGGUGCUUGCUCUGCUUGGCAUGGGGUUGCUGGUGCCUGGAGCAUGUCCUUGACAUAAGUACGAUGACGAAAUGGUUUUAUUCGACCCG